UUGUGAUUUGCAUUCGGGUGAAAGAGUAACUCUAUCUUUUUUAACAGAAAUGAACCUUAAUUUUCUUGUAACGCGGAUUUUCUUAGUUUUUCUAACAUUCAAUUGUCCUCAGAAGUAUAUUUCCUCAGUGAGUUUUUCGAAUCGGAAGAGCCAAGCAAGCAAAUAGUUUAAUUUGCCCAGAGCAUCACAAUUUCAACUUUCAACGACAAAAAAGGGUUUGCUAAUCAUGCCUUGUCCUGGCCCGAAUUCCAACUUCUACAGGUACAAGCGGUUCUAAACAUUAUCCAAUUGUUUUUGCAAUUUUGCCAGUGGAGAGAAGACACAUGAGUGGUUGGUAAUCGAUAUGGAAGUAACUGCAAUCAAUCAUCGUUUUGAAUUGAAUUUCUGAUAUGGAAGACGUGGAGUGACGUCGUUUAGCCGAUACUCUUACUUAUUCAACCCUUAAAUGUGUGUUCAUUCUCACUUUUAGUCACAAUCCAUAAUAGCCUUCAAUUUCUGCAUAUGGGUGACUUCGAGCUUUCCUAAACCCUUCAAUUGAUGCUUCAAGUUUAGUUUUUUUUUUUUUCAUUAUUUGAUGGUGUUGCAUAAUUUAGGAUCAGUUCCGACUACUUUAGAAAUGUUUGAAGUGAAUUAUCUAAUUUGACAAUUUUCUAGUUUAUUUCACCUUCUUUAAUUUGCAUCAGGAUUAGUGUUUUUUCUGGUGACGUUUCUCGGUUCUCAGCCUGGAAGCAAUUCUUGUAAGUACUGUUGCAUCGGUGUAGCUUGUGGCAGCGGAGUAAUGUUUUAACCCUUUUUGUUUGUGCUAUGUUUCUGCAGCUUUAGUCUGCGAUGAUUAUUACUCUUUUAAGUCUGUGCAGUGGGAGAAGCCUUGUAUGACGGAAAGAGUGGCAGAAAUAGCAGGAAGAACACAAGGGUCUUAGCUGGGCUCAUUGCUCUCAACAAAAAUGCUUAUAGACAACAGGUACACUCUCAAAUCAGUUCCAUUAACACACUCAGCUAUAUAUAAGAAAUCAGCAAGCUUCUUAUCCUCUUUAAUCUCAGAUUCUUCUUAUCAAGGUUUUAAAUUGCAGAAGCAAUGUGUUCACGGUGAAUCCAAAAACCUUAGGCUAUAGACCGGUUUUGGAAACCAUGUUUCUAAUUGGUCGAUUAUCGUUUCAAAAGUGUAAUGUAGUCCCAUUGAAUUUCGUGUUGCUUUAUCUCUGAUCAUGAAUAAACUUAGUUGUCUUUCAAUGGCAUAAGUUAUGGUAUCAUUUUUUUUAUUUUUGCACAAAUAUGGCAAUCUUCCUGUGCAUUCUGAUGCCAUAUUCCUAUUUCAAUAAUUCUACUUUACAGAUCUUCUGCAGGAGUAGCCAAAACAGGGUUUAUUCGGUCAACUUGGUGUAUUGGUAGUAUCGUACACUCAAAACCAUUAGCGAUUCCCCUCCUCUCUUUUCCCUCCCCCUCCCUGAGUAGAUAAUUAUAUUCUGGCUUCUUCCAAUGAAUUAUUUUUGUUAUUUUGUACUUUUGCAAGACAUUGAGGAUGGCUAGGCUCUUACUAUUUUUCGCACUUGCACAUGCCCAGUUUUUGCUUCUUGAAACUUGAUCAUAUUGUGACAGCUAAUAUUUUUAAACUAUAAAUUAAUUUACUCAUGUUUAUUUAA
Long non-coding RNA from Vigna angularis (adzuki bean), 1640 nucleotides. RefSeq lists it as uncharacterized. The record is from RefSeq and is a predicted model, not a curated record. The transcript is spliced from 2 exons. Lineage: Eukaryota; Viridiplantae; Streptophyta; Magnoliopsida; Fabales; Fabaceae.